This 433-nucleotide ribosomal RNA is filed under the name uncultured bacterium. RNAcentral's name for it is "partial 16S ribosomal RNA". It matches the Rfam family "Bacterial small subunit ribosomal RNA", at positions 29 to 507 of the family's 1533-position model. The record is from RNAcentral.
AACGAACGCUGGCGGCAUGCCUAACACAUGCAAGUCGAACGAGACCUUCGGGUCUAGUGGCGCACGGGUGCGUAACGCGUGGGAACCUGCCCUUAGGUUCGGAAUAACUCCCCGAAAGGGGUGCUAAUACCGGAUAAUGUCUUCGGACCAAAGAUUUAUCGCUUUUGGAUGGGCCCGCGUUGGAUUAGCUAGUUGGUAGGGUAAAAGCCUACCAAGGCGACGAUCCAUAGCUGGUCUGAGAGGAUGAUCAGCCACACUGGGACUGAGACACGGCCCAGACUCCUACGGGAGGCAGCAGUGGGGAAUAUUGGAAAAUGGGCGAAAGCCUGAUCGAGCAAUGCCGCGUGAGUGAUGAAGGCCUUAGGGUUGUAAAGCUCUUGUACCCGGGAUGAUAAUGACAGUACCGGGAGAAUAAGCUCCGGCUAACUACGUG